RNAcentral lists this long non-coding RNA (217 nucleotides) under Jatropha curcas. RNAcentral's name for it is "long non-coding RNA (JCUR_LNC001597)". Lineage: Eukaryota; Viridiplantae; Streptophyta; Magnoliopsida; Malpighiales; Euphorbiaceae. The record is from RNAcentral.
UAAGCUCUAAAAGACUCAUGAAUUGCACACAUGUCCAAAUAAAACACAAAUACUCCACAUAAAGUGAAGAGAUCACAAACUCCACACAAAAUGGAGAUAAACCGCGAAAAAUAGCAUAAACAUAAGUAAUAUAAAUUAUGUCGAAUGGGCAUAAAUCUAUAACGUGUUUAACAAAAAGAACAUAAAAAUUUGCAACAAAAUCAAAAAUAAAAGGGAG